CCUACGGGUGGCAGCAGUGGGGAAUAUUGGGCAAUGGGCGCAAGCCUGACCCAGCAACGCCGCGUGAAGGAAGAAGGCUUUCGGGUUGUAAACUUCUUUUAUCAGGGAAGAGUAUAAGACGGUACCUGACGAAUAAGCCACGGCUAACUACGUGCCAGCAGCCGCGGUAAUACGUAGGUGGCAAGCGUUGUCCGGAUUUACUGGGUGUAAAGGGCGUGUAGCCGGGUUGAAAAGUCAGAUGUGAAAUCCUGCGGCUUAACCGCAGAACUGCAUUUGAAACUGUCGAUCUUGAGUACUGGAGAGGUAGAUGGAAUUCGUAGUGUAGCGGUGAAAUGCGUAGAUAUUAGGAGGAACACCAGUGGCGAAGGCAGUCUGCUGGACAGCAACUGACAGUGAGGCGCGAAAGCGUGGGGAGCAAACAGGAUUAGAUACCCCAGUAGUC
This 442-nucleotide ribosomal RNA is filed under the name uncultured bacterium. RNAcentral describes it as "partial 16S ribosomal RNA". It matches the Rfam family "Bacterial small subunit ribosomal RNA", at positions 338 to 795 of the family's 1533-position model. The record is from RNAcentral.